Molecule: transfer RNA, 67 nt
Filed under: human gut metagenome
Rfam family: tRNA
About the family: Transfer RNA (tRNA) molecules are approximately 80 nucleotides in length. Their secondary structure includes four short double-helical elements and three loops (D, anti-codon, and T loops). Further hydrogen bonds mediate the characteristic L-shaped molecular structure. tRNAs have two regions of fundamental functional importance: the anti-codon, which is responsible for specific mRNA codon recognition, and the 3' end, to which the tRNAs corresponding amino acid is attached (by aminoacyl-tRNA synthetases). tRNAs cope with the degeneracy of the genetic code in two manners: having more than one tRNA (with a specific anti-codon) for a particular amino acid; and 'wobble' base-pairing, i.e. permitting non-standard base-pairing at the 3rd anti-codon position.
Source: RNAcentral
CGGGUGUAGCUCAAUGGUAGAGCCCUAGCCUUCCAAGCUAGUCACGUGAGUUCGAUUCUCAUCACCC